Solanum verrucosum is the source of this 554-nucleotide long non-coding RNA. RefSeq lists it as uncharacterized. The record is from RefSeq and is a predicted model, not a curated record. Lineage: Eukaryota; Viridiplantae; Streptophyta; Magnoliopsida; Solanales; Solanaceae. The transcript is spliced from 3 exons.
UUUGAAAAACCUUAGAGGUGAAUUGACAAUCAAACGUCUGCAAUCAGUCAGAAAUAAAGAAGAGGCUCGAACAGCAUAUUUACAGGAGAAACCAAAUAUCUACAAGCUGACAUAUUUGUGGUCCCAUGAUGAAUCAGAAGGCAGUGAGAUCAAUGAUGAACAUGUGUUGGAUGGUCUUCAACCGCAUCCUAACUUGAAAACCUUAGUAGUGGAGAACUAUUUGGGAACUAUAUUUCCUUCAUGGUUCAGUAAAGAAUUGCUACCGAAUUUGGUCAUGUUGAAAUUAAGUGGUUGCAAAAGGUGCAAAGAAAUUCCAUCCCUUGGCCAACUGAAAUUCCUUCGGCAUCUUGAGCUGGUAGGAUUCCAUGAGUUGGAAUGCAUUGGACCUGCUUUAUAUGGUGUUGAGAUUAGCAAUAUUGGAUCAAGCAGCAUUAUCCAAGUGUUCCCGUCAUUGAAAGAACUAGUAUUGAAGGAUAUGCGUAGCCUUAUUGAGUGGAAGGGAGAUGAAGUUGGAGUAAGAAUGUUUCCUAGGCUUGAGAAGUUGACGAUUACAA